Molecule: ribosomal RNA, 301 nt
Filed under: uncultured bacterium
Lineage: Bacteria
Description: partial 16S ribosomal RNA
Rfam family: Bacterial small subunit ribosomal RNA
Source: RNAcentral
CAGUCGCCGCGGGAAUACGUAGGGUGCAAGCGUUAAUCGGAAUUACUGGGCGUAAAGCGUGCGCAGGCGGUUAUAUAAGACAGAUGUGAAAUCCCCGGGCUCAACCUGGGAACUGCAUUUGUGACUGUAUAGCUAGAGUACGGCAGAGGGGGAUGGAAUUCCGCGUGUAGCAGUGAAAUGCGUAGAUAUGCGGAGGAACACCGAUGGCGAAGGCAAUCCCCUGGGCCUGUACUGACGCUCAUGCACGAAAGCGUGGGGAGCAAACAGGAUUAGAUACCCCUGUAGUCCCUGUCUCUUAUCC